GGGGAAUAUUGCGCAAUGGGGGAAACCCUGACGCAGCAAUACCGCGUGAGUGAAGAAGGUUUUCGGAUCGUAAAGCUCUGUUAUUGGGGAAGAAAAAAAGACGGUACCCAAGAAGAAAGUCCCGGCUAACUACGUGCCAGCAGCCGCGGUAAUACGUAGGGGACAAGCGUUGUCCGGAUUUACUGGGCGUAAAGGGAGCGUAGGUGGUUCGGCAAGUCAGAUGUGAAAGCCCGGGGCUCAACCCCGGGACUGCAUUUGAAACUGUCGGGCUAGAGUGCAGGAGAGGUAAGUGGAAUUCCUAGUGUAGCGGUGAAAUGCGUAGAUAUUAGGAGGAACACCAGUGGCGAAGGCGGCUUACUGGACUGUAACUGACACUGAGGCUCGAAAGCGUGGGGAGCAAACA
RNAcentral lists this ribosomal RNA (403 nucleotides) under uncultured Eubacteriales bacterium. RNAcentral describes it as "bacterial SSU rRNA". It matches the Rfam family "Bacterial small subunit ribosomal RNA", at positions 356 to 774 of the family's 1533-position model. The record is from RNAcentral. Lineage: Bacteria; Bacillati; Bacillota; Clostridia; Eubacteriales.